UACGAAGGGUGCAAACGUUGCUCGGAAUUAUUGGGCGUAAAGCGCACGUAGGCGGCUCUGUAAGUUGGAUGUGAAAUCCCUCGGCUUAACCAAGGAAGUGCAUUCAAAACUGCAGAGCUUGAGUACUUAAGAGGAUCGCGGAAUUCCCGGUGUAGAGGUGAAAUUCGUAGAUAUCGGGAGGAACACCAGUGGCGAAGGCGGCGAUCUGGGAAGAUACUGACGCUGAGGUGCGAAAGCGUGGGGAGCAAACAGG
This 253-nucleotide ribosomal RNA is filed under the name uncultured bacterium. Its description in RNAcentral is "partial 16S ribosomal RNA". It matches the Rfam family "Bacterial small subunit ribosomal RNA", at positions 524 to 776 of the family's 1533-position model. The record is from RNAcentral.